AUGCACGCUGGCGGCGUGCCUCAUCCAUGCCAGUCGCGCGAACAGACGAGGAGCUUACUCCUCUGACGUUAGCGGCGGACGGGUGAGUAACACGUGGAUAACCUACCUAUAAGACUGGGAUAACUUCGGGAAACCGGAGCUAAUACCGGAUAACAUGUUGAACCGCAUGGUUCAACAGUGAAAGACGGUCUUGCUGUCACUUAUAGAUGGAUCCGCGUCGCAUUAGCUAGUUGGUAAGGUAACGGCUUACCAAGGCAACGAUGCGUAGCCGACCUGAGAGGGUGAUCGGCCACACUGGAACUGAGACACGGUCCAGACUCCUACGGGAGGCAGCAGUAGGGAAUCUUCCGCAAUGGGCGAAAGCCUGACGGAGCAACGCCGCGUGAGUGAAGAAGGUCUUCGGAUCGUAAAACUCUGUUAUUAGGGAAGAACAAAUGUGUAAGUAACUAUGCACGUCUUGACGGUACCUAAUCAGAAAGCCACGGCUAACUACGUG
This 496-nucleotide ribosomal RNA is filed under the name uncultured bacterium. Its description in RNAcentral is "partial 16S ribosomal RNA". It matches the Rfam family "Bacterial small subunit ribosomal RNA", at positions 29 to 507 of the family's 1533-position model. The record is from RNAcentral.